AACUAACAAGGAUUCCCCUAGUAACUGCGAGUGAAGCGGGAAAAGCUCAAAUUUAAAAUCUGGCAGUCUUUGGCUGUCCGAGUUGUAAUCUAGAGAAGUAUUAUCCGCGCUGGACCGUGUACAAGUCUCCUGGAAUGGGGCGUCAUAGAGGGUGAGAAUCCCGUCUUUGACACGGACUGCCAGGGCUUUGUGAUGUGCUCUCAAAGAGUCGAGUUGUUUGGGAAUGCAGCUCAAAAUGGGUGGUAAAUUCCAUCUAAAGCUAAAUAUUGGCGAGAGACCGAUAGCGAACAAGUACCGUGAGGGAAAGAUGAAAAGAACUUUGGAAAGAGAGUUAAACAGUACGUGAAAUUGCUGAAAGGGAAACGCUUGAAGUCAGUCGCGUUGGCCAGGGAUCAACCUUGCUUUUUUGCUUGGCUUACUUUCUGGUCGAUGGGUCAGCAUCAAUUUUGACCGGUGGAAAAAGUUCAAGGGAAUGUGGCAUCUUCGGAUGUGUUAUAGCCUUUGUUCGCAUACAUUGGUUGGGAUUGAGGAACUCAGCACGCCGCAAGGCCGGGUUUUUAACCACGUACGUGCUUAGGAUGCUGGCAUAAUGGCUUUAAUCGACCCGUCUUGAAACACGGACCAAGGAGUCUAACAUGCCUGCGAGUGUUUGGGUGAAAAACCCGAGCGCGUAAUGAAAGUGAAAGUUGAGAUCCCUGUCGUAGGGAGCAUUGACGCCCGGAUCUGACCUUUUGUGACGAUUCUGCGGUAGAGCAUGUAUGUUGGGACCCGAAAGAUGGUGAACUAUGCCUGAAUAGGGUGAAGCCAGAGGAAACUCUGGUGGAGGCUCGUAGCGAUUCUGACGUGCAAAUCGAUCGUCAAAUUUGGGUAUAGGGGCGAAAGACUAAUCGAACCAUCUAGUAGCUGGUC
Molecule: ribosomal RNA, 909 nt
Filed under: Laccaria amethystina
Lineage: Eukaryota; Fungi; Basidiomycota; Agaricomycetes; Agaricales; Hydnangiaceae
Description: eukaryotic LSU rRNA
Rfam family: Eukaryotic large subunit ribosomal RNA
Source: RNAcentral